RNAcentral lists this ribosomal RNA (253 nucleotides) under uncultured bacterium. RNAcentral describes it as "partial 16S ribosomal RNA". It matches the Rfam family "Bacterial small subunit ribosomal RNA", at positions 524 to 776 of the family's 1533-position model. The record is from RNAcentral.
UACGUAGGGUGCGAGCGUUAAUCGGAAUUACUGGGCGUAAAGCGUGCGCAGGCGGCCUUGCAAGACAGAUGUGAAAUCCCCGGGCUCAACCUGGGAACUGCAUUUGUGACUGCAAGGCUAGAGUACGGCAGAGGGGGAUGGAAUUCCGCGUGUAGCAGUGAAAUGCGUAGAUAUGCGGAGGAACACCAAUGGCGAAGGCAAUCCCCUGGGCCUGUACUGACGCUCAUGCACGAAAGCGUGGGGAGCAAACAGG